UACCGAGGUCCCAAGCGUUGUUCGGAUUCACUGGGCGUAAAGGGUGCGUAGGUGGCAGGGUAAGUUUGAUGUGAAAUCUCCGGGCUUAACCCGGAAACUGCAUUGAAUACUAUCCUGCUCGAGGUUUGGAGGGGGGACUGGAAUUCUCGGUGUAGCAGUGAAAUGCGUAGAUAUCGAGAGGAACACCAGUGGCGAAGGCGAGUCCCUGGACAACACCUGACACUGAGGCACGAAAGCUAGGGGAGCAAACAGG
Molecule: ribosomal RNA, 253 nt
Filed under: uncultured bacterium
Lineage: Bacteria
Description: partial 16S ribosomal RNA
Rfam family: Bacterial small subunit ribosomal RNA
Source: RNAcentral